GAUUAGGCUUUCUUUAUGUCAAUAAAAGAUACUUUUAACAGUGAAGCUAAUGCGCGACGCAUUGCCAUGGUGGAGAGCUGCUUCGGCAGUUCGGGACAGCCACUGGCAGUACCAGGGAGAGUCCUAGUAGGAGAAGGAGUCCUUACAAAGAUGUGUCGCAAAAAACCGAAAGCUCGACAGUUUUUCCUGUUUAAUGACAUACUUGUUUAUGGCAACAUCGUCAUUAACAAGAAAAAGUAUAAUAAGCAGCACAUCAUACCGCUUGAAGAAGUGAAACUGGAAUCACUUGAAGAUGAUGGUCAAUUCAGAAAUGGGUGGCUAAUUCGCACAGCAUCUAAAUCUUUUGCGGUGUACGCUGCAACAUCGACAGAGAAACAGGAAUGGAUGGCACAUAUCAACAAGUGUAUUGAAGAUUUGCUGCGGAAAAGUGGUAAAAAGGCAGUAGAAGUUCAUGCUGCUGUCUGGGUACCUGAUUCUGAGGCUGCUGUCUGCAUGCACUGUAAAAAAACUCAGUUUACUGUGCUGAAUCGACGGCACCAUUGUCGAAAGUGCGGGGCAGUUGUGUGUGGUCCUUGUUCUAACAAAAGAUUUCUUUUGCCAAACCAGUCAUCAAAACCUCUUAGAGUGUGCUUGAAUUGUUACGACACAUUAUCACGUGCAAAAACUAGACCGCCAAACAGUACAGUUUCAUCACCUGACGGUUCAUUCACAAAAGACUUAAAGGAAAGAAAUGGAUCUGGAGAAUCAUCAGGAGAAGAAGACUCAGAUGAAGAUGAGGAACCUAAUCGUUCACAGCAAGAAUCUACUCAUGAUGAGUCUGCCUAAGAGCAUGGAAGCUCGUCAGCAGUUUUGUCAGUAUUGCCAUUGGAAGAUGACUAACAGUGUCUGCCUGUUGUGGCAGACACUUGAUGUUUAACUUAGGAUUGAGUUCAGGACAGUGUUCAUGGAGAUGCCAAAAUUCUAUGGGGUGUCUGAAGGAGCAGAAGAAAACAAGCAAGACAAAUGAACAGCUUGAAAGUGAUCACUUAUUGUUAAGUUUGAUUAUGGCCCAGUGUGCUGGUAAUAUUGUAUCAAAGCAGCUCAUAAUUUCACUUUCACUGUGAGGGAAUAUGUAAGAUAGCACUGGAAGAAGAAAGUUUUCUGGAGCUAUGUGACAGCUUAAUCAUGUGGCACCUACUUUAUAAAGUUGUCAGCACAUAUGUUGCUGUUAUUUGCUUCUUUUUUAGUGGAGUCUCAGUACUGCAAAACUUCAUAGUGUGUAGCUAACUUCAGAAGUGUACUAAGCAUGUAAUUUCUAUUGAGCAUUUUUUGCUCUCUUGCCUAUCACAGUACUUUUUCUUUUUUUCUCCUGUCUCACUUAAAUGAGACAUUUGUUGAUAUUAGAACUGUAUAUUUUUAAACAGCUCUGUAUAUAUAUAUAUAUAUAGAUAUAUUGUUGUUUUUGUAUUUCACUUAUACCUUUGUAUUAUUUUGUAAGUGUUAUGGAGUUUGUUACUCUUAAGAUGAUGAAUCUGAAUGCCGUAACUGAUGCCAAUUGAAUUUGUCAGACGAGAUAACAACAUUAUUUUCAUACACGUAUAUUUGCAGUUGCCUUGUAUUAGGCAGUAAAUAUUUGAAAACUAUGUAAACAAUAUUUAAUUGUUGAUGAUGUCACCAGGGAAAUACAGUUAUCUUAAUACCCAGUAAAAAACAUUCUUUUUAUGUUUGAGGCAAAGAUUAGAAUACUUUGAUCACAGAUGUCAAGCAGUUUUCUGUUUAUGUAACCAAAAAACUAUUUUAUGGGGAAAUUAUAUAGUAUAAGACUGAAAACAGAGUAAUUUAUCUAAUGAUAACGUAAUUUAUGGGCAUAAAAGGUCUUACUGUGUAAAAUGCACGUCUUUUUCACACACAGAUAUUUUUCUUUUUCCUUCCCUAGACAAAAUUGGCUCUUUGUAAAAAGCUCUGGGUAGGGUUAAAAUAACUCAUUUGCUUUGUAAUACUAGCUCUGAUUUAUCAUUAUGUAUUUGCUUCUCAUUUAUUUACAGUGUGAAGCUGGAAACCAUAAUCAUACAGCCAAAAAUUAUUUGAAAACCCCUUUGUAUUUAAUUCUUGAAAGAACUUGUAAAAAUAGUGUUGUACAGCUGGUUUUCGUAAUUGUUGAAAUAAAUCUGGUUAUUUUAAUGACUAAGUAAUGUAAUGACAGCCUUUGUAUUCAGUACCCAAUUUGGGUUUCUGUAGUGCAACUUGCUUCAGUCCAUGUAAAUUAAAUUUGCCAGAGUAUGGGUGUACAUGCUUAUUUAAUGAUUGUGGUUAUAAUAAUGCAGAAAUCUCUUACCAGAGCUGUGGAGUAAUAGACUGAAUUACCUGUUAAGCUCAGGGAACAAAUUUGUUGGUUCUAUCACGUAGAUAUUGCAGCCAUUUUAAACUAAGAUAAUUUUAUUGAAGAAAGGGGCUGCUUAUAAUACCAUCAUAUUGAAGUAGGUAAUAAGUUCCUGCUUUGUCACAUUGAUAGCCAUUGUUUGGAAUUACUGUGUUCCAAAUGUUCAGAAUUCCCUUUUGUAAUGUGCAUGAAGUUCAGAUGACGACAGUUGUAUAAGACAAUGUGAUAAGAUUUUGCUACAACUUCAUUACUAGGUGCUGAAUGGAAAAAAUAUUGAGAGUGCCUUUUUUAUUAUUGGUGGUAUAUUUGUCAUACAUACUUUUUACUCCACUGUCAUGUAGAUACUGCUGUAUUUAUAAGAAGAAACACAAAAUUCAAUGAUUUUAUUUAUGUAUAAUUGAGCUGAGAUGAUUUUACUUUUCUUUAUAAGUAUACAGUAGUCUUCCAGUUGCAAAAAAUUACUGUUAAUGUAAAUUACUUCACUCCUUUUGUUGGAGAGAAAUGUCUUUCACUUUGAUUUUAUAUAAAUUUGUUAUCAGUGGAGAAGAGGAUACUGCAAUGAAAUGUAUGGCCUGUAAAAUUGCUUUGUGAGUGCUGGCUGAUAAAUGAAACCAAUUGUA
Molecule: RNA transcript, 2979 nt
Organism: Schistocerca nitens (vagrant locust)
Lineage: Eukaryota; Metazoa; Arthropoda; Insecta; Orthoptera; Acrididae
Gene: rush
Gene name: pleckstrin homology domain-containing family F member 2
Exons: 10
Source: RefSeq, a predicted model, not a curated record